UACGUAGGUGGCAAGCGUUGUCCGGAAUUAUUGGGCGUAAAGAGCGCGUAGGCGGCCUUUUAAGUCUGAUGUGAAAGCCCACGGCUCAACCGUGGAAGGUCAUUGGAAACUGAAGGGCUUGAGUACAGAAGAGGAAAGCGGAAUUCCACGUGUAGCGGUGAAAUGCGUAGAGAUGUGGAGGAACACCAGUGGCGAAGGCGGCUUUCUGGUCUGUAACUGACGCUGAGGCGCGAAAGCGUGGGGAGCAAACAGG
This 253-nucleotide ribosomal RNA is filed under the name uncultured bacterium. Its description in RNAcentral is "partial 16S ribosomal RNA". It matches the Rfam family "Bacterial small subunit ribosomal RNA", at positions 524 to 776 of the family's 1533-position model. The record is from RNAcentral.